AGUGGCGAACGGGUGAGUAACACGUGAGUAACCUGCCCUUGACUUUGGGAUAACUUCAGGAAACUGGGGCUAAUACCGGAUAGGAGCUCCUGCUGCAUGGUGGGGGUUGGAAAGUUUCGGCGGUUGGGGAUGGACUCGCGGCUUAUCAGCUUGUUGGUGGGGUAGUGGCUUACCAAGGCUUUGACGGGUAGCCGGCCUGAGAGGGUGACCGGCCACAUUGGGACUGAGAUACGGCCCAGACUCCUACGGGAGGCAGCAGUGGGGAAUAUUGCACAAUGGGCGGAAGCCUGACGCAGCAACGCCGCGUGCGGGAUGACGGCCUUCGGGUUGUAAACCGCUUUCGCCUGUGACGAAGCGCGAGUGACGGUAAUGGGUAAAGAAGCACCGGCUAACUACGUGCCAGCAGCCGCGGUGAUACGUAGGGUGCGAGCGUUGUCCGGAUUUAUUGGGCGUAAAGGGCUCGUAGGUGGUCGAUCGCGUCGGAAGUGUAAUCUUGGGGCUUAACCCUGAGCGUGCUUUCGAUACGGGUUGA
RNAcentral lists this ribosomal RNA (532 nucleotides) under uncultured bacterium. RNAcentral describes it as "bacterial SSU rRNA". It matches the Rfam family "Bacterial small subunit ribosomal RNA", at positions 94 to 640 of the family's 1533-position model. The record is from RNAcentral.